UACAGAGGGGGCAAGCGUUGUUCGGAAUUACUGGGCGUAAAGGGCGCGUAGGCGGCCUGCUAAGUCGAACGUGAAAUCCCUGGGCUCAACCCAGGAACUGCGUCCGAUACUGGUUGGCUUGAAUCCGGGAGAGGGAUGUGUAAUUCCAGGUGUAGCGGUGAAAUGCGUAGAUAUCUGGAGGAACACCGGUGGCGAAGGCGACAUCCUGGACCGGUAUUGACGCUGAGGCGCGAAAGCCAGGGAGCAAACGGG
RNAcentral lists this ribosomal RNA (252 nucleotides) under uncultured bacterium. Its description in RNAcentral is "partial 16S ribosomal RNA". It matches the Rfam family "Bacterial small subunit ribosomal RNA", at positions 524 to 776 of the family's 1533-position model. The record is from RNAcentral.